ACCUGAGGUAGAGGUGCUGUGAUAAAUAGUAAAUAUAAUGAGUCUGGUAGACUAUGACUUAUAUUGAAAGGUAUUACGGCCGAAGGAAUAAGUUAAACCAAAGCUUAUUUCUGGGUAUUCAUAAAAUAUGUGGAUAACUGUCACGAAAGUGUUGAGCUACAAGGCAU
This is a regulatory RNA element of Clostridium butyricum, 167 nucleotides long. It matches the Rfam family "Lysine riboswitch aptamer". From Rfam's summary of the family: Riboswitches are metabolite binding domains within certain messenger RNAs that serve as precision sensors for their corresponding targets. Allosteric rearrangement of mRNA structure is mediated by ligand binding, and this results in modulation of gene expression. This family includes riboswitches that sense lysine in a number of genes involved in lysine metabolism, including lysC. NCBI's taxonomy places the organism in Bacteria, Bacillati, Bacillota, Clostridia, Eubacteriales, Clostridiaceae. The record is from Rfam.